UCCGCCACUGUGCUUGUCUGUUAAAGUGACAGUGUACUGUCCAGAGGAGGCUGAUAAUAACCCAGCUCUAGGAAGCAGGGCUGCUCAACUCCGUGGCUAACCCUGUGCCAAAAGGCCUGGAACAUGU
This is a small nucleolar RNA of Megalobrama amblycephala (Wuchang bream), 127 nucleotides long. RefSeq annotates it as small nucleolar RNA SNORA65. The record is from RefSeq and is a predicted model, not a curated record. The transcript has a single exon. NCBI's taxonomy places the organism in Eukaryota, Metazoa, Chordata, Actinopteri, Cypriniformes, Xenocyprididae.